AUCCACUCGCUCCAGGCGACAAUUGAUAUGGCUAACCUGCUUGCUUCAGGGGCAUAUCAGCUCUGUAGCAAUGGCGACAUUAUUUGUUGCCAGGAGUAUCUCUCAUCUCUCUACUUCCAGGCACGAAUUCAAUUCAUACAGCGCAAAGCCAAUGCCUAGUAUCUGGCUGAUCAGAGUACCCCUGGCGACUUCUGCCAGUUACUAUCAUUUUCCGCCUUUUGAAUAAUAGAGCAGAGCAUCUGUCGUUUGUCGUGACCAUAGUUUGCCAUGUAACGUGCAGCUCAAAAGCAGUAGGUCGGGCCAGUGCCAGAUGUAGAGGGUUAUGAACUUAUCAUAACAUACAACUUCCUCCUCGCCAUGUGAAGAUUAGCUAUCGCCAAUAUAUCAACCAAGACGCAUGUAACAAAAUCUCCAUUUUCUCUGAACCAGCCCAUCCACAUCAAAAACAAAAUUCAGCCCCCUACCGACGCUCUCAUGCCGAUAGCUCAAUAUCCAACUCCUUAAAAGUAACCACCAGCUCACCACCUUCCUUCGCCGGCUUCGCCGCAUACACCCCAGCCCAACACUCCGCAACCCUCUCCUCGUCCGCAAAUGCCCAGGUAAUCUGACGAAUCCGUCUUCUCUCCCCGCCCUCAACUAAAUAAAUCCACAAUGACGUAUCCUUCUCCCGAGCCAUCUCAAUCCGCGCACUGGCGCCCGCCCCUUCCCCAGGCGUCAGCGGAAACAGACUCCAAUCCGCCCACUGAUCCUUCGCCACGACGCUAACAUGCGGCUUGUCGUCGACAAACUCGAUGCCAGCCUUGACCCACUUCUGCGUCCCGUCGGCGCCGUUCAUGACCAGAAUCAGCCCGCCCUGGUCGUAGAGAGUCGCCCACUCGCCAUGGAUGUGUACGCUGGAUCGCUGGAAGCUGG
This 912-nucleotide small RNA is filed under the name Histoplasma ohiense. RNAcentral's name for it is "hypothetical lncRNA". The record is from RNAcentral. Lineage: Eukaryota; Fungi; Ascomycota; Eurotiomycetes; Onygenales; Ajellomycetaceae.